ACAUCAUUUUAUCGUAACUUAAGUAUUUAGCAUAUUUUGGAAAUUCGAUUGUAAUUAUGUGGUACUUUUUUUAUUGCUGAUGAAAUAUAAAAAAGAAAUUCUAAUAUCGGAGAAAACAUCGUCAUCUUGUCCUAAUUUGUUUCCAAAAUGGCGGCCCAUGCAGCGGCGGCUCUGUUGGAUGAAUUAAUGGGAAGGGACCGAAAUUUGCAGCCCACUGAAAAGAGAAGUGAAUUGAAAUGGGAUGAUCCAGAAGUUUGCAAAUACUUUUUGUGUGGGUUUUGUCCUCAUGAGUUGUUUGUUAAUACAAGAGCAGAUCUUGGAAAUUGUGAAAAAAUUCAUGAUGAUGUAUUACGAAAAGAGUAUACGAAAAGUGGUCGGUUUGAAAAAAUGGGAUAUGAGGAAGAAUUUAUGCGUUUCCUUCAAACUUUGAUUUCUGAUGUUGAAAGAAGGAUUCGAAGGGGCCAUCAGCGCUUAGCCUUGAAUAGUACCCAAGGAACACCUUCAAGCAAUGCUGCUGCUCUGAAAGAAGAAAAAGUUGCCAUGUUAACUGAACGGAUUAAUGAUUUAGUUCAACAGGCAGAAAAUUUGGGUUGUGAAGGAAAAGUUGAAGAAGCUCAAGGUGUUAUGAAAUUAUGUGAUUUACUAAGAGAGGAGAGGAAAGUUUUAGAAAAUCAAACCCGGCAAAACAGUCAAACGCCAGAAAGUGAAAAAACCAUGGAAGUGUGUAAUGUAUGUGGUGCACUCCUUGUUGUUGGAGACAUUCAGCAGCGUAUUGAUGAACAUAUCAUGGGAAAACAGCAUUCUGGUUAUGCCAGAAUCAGAACGUAUGUUGAAGAAAGAAAGCAGAGAAAGUUACAAUCUGCAGAAGAAAGAGAAGCCAGACUUGUCAGAGAGAAAGAAGAACGUGAAAAAGAAAGAGAGCGGGAAAAAGAGAAAGAACGAGAAGAGAAACGUAGGAAAGAAAAGGAAAGGGAGAAAGAAAGGGAGAGGCAAAGAGAACGAGAAAAAAGACGACGGCGUAGCCGUAGUCGAACCAGGAGGAGUAGAAGCAGAGAAAGGAAGAGACGUUCCAGAAGCCAUGGUCAUCGAUCUCAAAGAUCAAGUAGUAGAGAAAAACAUAAAAUUGCUCGUCGGCAUCGUUCACGGAGUCAUUCUAGUUCUAGAAGCCAUUCCUCUCGUCAGUCAAAUCAUCAUAGAAGGUCUCGGAGUAGAGAAUUUAAACAUAGAUCAGGUAGUAAAGAACCCAAAUACAGAUCACGGAGUCCUGAUUCUAAAAAUGGCUCACCUAGCUAUGAACUAAGUAAAUAUCAUUCAAGGAGUCAUGAACUUAAACAUCGCUCUGGUAGUCAGGAUUCAAGUUAUCGGUCAUUCAGCCAAGAAACCAGGCAGUACUCAAAUAGUAAUGAUUCGAAGCAGCGACCAGGCAAUAAUUGUGACAGGAAAAUUUUAUAUUUAGAAAAUGAUAAGCAGUUAAUGUACAACGAUGACAACACCCAGCAUAUGGAGAUGAUGCACUAUGAUAAAUAUGAAGAUGGUGAAAUUCCAUCAGACAGCCGUGCUGAUAUUGAUGAUAGUAAUGAAGAGACUGGCACACAUUCUGAAGGUGACACUAAAUGAAUGAUUGAUCUAGCCUGCUUCUGAUCAACCCAUGCUGGUAAGUGACUGUCUAAUGGUUUACCUGAUCUUGCUUUCAGCUCAUUCAGAGGUAAGUGGUGACCUCUACUGGCAUGCAUCCGUCCGUCUGUCUAUUUGUUCGUCCAUUGGAGUUGAGCAAGAGACACCAAGCUAAUAGACGGCAGCCACUCAAAUAUGUUGGUCUGUAAACUAAAACAGACUGUCAUGGCACUUCUAAACAAUAUACUUGGUAAAUGUCAUCAGCACCUACUGUUCCCUGUGCUCCCCCACCCCUUAAACCUGUAUUCAUCCUUUAGUAUAUUUAAUAGAUUUUCUUCCUGCCAUUAUAGUCCCAUUCAUGGAUCUGUGUUCAAGGUCGAUAAUGAAUUGGCUGAUAAUCGAAGAACUGGUAAACAUAUCUUAAUCUGUUGCUGCUUGUAAUUUUUGUUAAUGAUAAUGUGUGUGAAUGAAGAAUGCUUUGAUAUUGUCCAUAAUAAUACUGGUAUCGAAUUAAGAUAAUUCUUAAUAGUGAUGUCAUCAAAAGGGAUAAUUGUGUUACAGUUCUUUUUCAUUUUGUGGAAUAGGAAUUUUGUAGUUUUUAGAAAAAUAAUCACAGAAAAUACUAACAUCAAUUUUACUUGAUUUGAAAACUGGUAGAAUUACAAUAAUUUUAUUUUAACUUAGCUGAAGCUCGACUCAUUUGAGGAGUGUGGGAAAAUCACUUAUUCCUUCAAAAAUUAGCCAGAUUGAGUUUCUUAAUUCAUUUUUAGUCUUUCAAUCUCAAUUUCUCUAAUUACUCAAUAUAGCAUUGACAUUUUAUAUAUUUCAUUUUAAUAUCAUUUGAUGUCUAAAAUGAAUACAUGAAUGUUGUGUAAUUUAAAGAAACGCUUUCUUUCUUUCUUUUAUACAUAACAUUGAGUAUAGGUAUGAAAUAUAAGCUAGCCAAUGUUUUGCUAUUCAAACUUGACUGCAAAAUCAGAUUAAAUUAACUCUUUAUGUUUACUUCCAAAUAAUUAAAAAAAAUCUCCAGUUUGAGAAUGUCUCUGAAACAUAAAAAUGUGUACUUGAAAAGAGCAAUAUAUUUUAUUCUAAUAAAUACUUUAAGCAUAGACUAAAAACACCCCCAAAACUUAGAUUUUAUCAACUUUCUUAUAUAAUAGUUAUUUACUGCUCCAUCAAAAUAACUCUGCUGGAAAAAAAAAAAUUUACAAAAACCUACAUCAAAAUUUGAUUUUAUAAACAAAGUAAAACUUAGUCACUUCACUUUUUUUCUUCUUUUUAAACAUAUUACAAAGUUUUUAACCACUGCAUCAAUAAACAUGAAAAAAAUCUGGGUUUAAUGUUAUUUGUGAAUGGGGCCUUAAUAUUUUAUUUUCCUGCACAGACACCAUCAUCAUUCCAGUGGUUUUAUUAUAAGCACAUGCCUAUAGUCUGACCAGUUUCUUUUCUGAUACAGACAGAUUUCUAUUUAUGCAGUUCUAUCAAUCUUUGUCAGCACCAUGUUUGAAUUGCUCGGUUGCCAAUGUUGAGAGCAUUGCUUUGACUACCAAUCUGUUACAUGAGACCACGGUGCCUCAAUGCUUCCUCGACACCAGUGAUGCUUGCCUCUCUAUACAGGUAUUUCUUUGGUCUUAGAUAAUUGAUAUGUAAGCGGCUUCAUUUAUACUAUCUUCCCUGCUGAAUUCUGUUUUGUGCAGAUUUGUAUAUAUUUACUUGGAGAAAUAAAAUUCAUUUCCAUGUUAUGUUGAAUGUAUGAUUUAGGUUGUGAUAGAUGUUUUAGCCAAGAGUGUGUGUGUAUGUUUGCGUUCAUAUACCAGCAACACACUCUAAAUUGCCUUAUUCUGUGUUCUCAUUAGCAGAAGAAAUAUAAAAAAAGAUGAAUCUGAAAUAUAUGUUAAUGCUUCCACAUUGGGGAUUUACACUUUCUCUUUCAGAUCUUAAGGUAAGUGAAAAGCCAGGAUUCUGAUAGUGUAUCCUGAGUUGAUGGCCUUCUGCAUUUAGAAUUAAAAGGGAACAAACUUGCAAAUGUAACAGUAUUUAAAGAUAGGUAGCCUGAGAUUUUUGGAGUUGAAACAAAAGAAUCAUUUCCUUUGGUUUAUCUACUUACAUAUUUAAUUUCAAGAUAUAUUCAAAUAAAAUAUUAGCUUCGAGUAGUGUAUCAGUUGAAAUGGAUAUAACUAAAUACUUUAGAUUGAAGCAUACUAAAAGGAGUUAUGUAGUAUCAUAAAUUAUUUCUGUGUAAGAAUUGUUUGACAUGAAAUUGUAUUGUUAAAAUUCUUUUAACAAAUUACAAAAACAAUUUAUCGUAGAACAUACAGAAUGAUUUGUUAUUACAGUGGCUGGUGGUUAAAGCUUUGAAGAACUCACUUUAUGACCAUCAAAUCUUGAGCCAUUGUGUAUAACUCUUGGACAGAAAUAUAACAACUUUACUUACAGCAGUUACCUGCUUAAUACCAGGCUCUAUUCCUACUUUGUUGGGUAGGUACACUACCUAGUUGAAAAGUACUUGUGCUAACAUGGGAAAAUAAAUAUAAAGCUACAUGAAGAUGCUGAUAUUUUGAGAGAAAUUCUAAUUAUAUUUUAAAGAUAUAUUUUCAAAAUUUAUUAAAUAUUUCAUGUAAUUAUUCAGUAAUAAUUUUUUUCACAUAAUUUAUAGUAAAAAGCUCCAUUUAUAAAACAUGGGCACCAAGCAUUUAACUGAUGUGACAAAGCCUUGGAUUUUAUGGAUAGGCUUUUCAGUGUGCUUUUCCUGCUUAACUGAUAGAUAUUUUUGUAAUUGGAAAAGUAUGUCAUUUUCAUACUGUGCUUUAGUUUGUCACUUAACUAUGCCAGCAUGGUAAAACCAGUGCAAGAUUGCAGCUGAGACUAGUUUGAAGGAUUACAAUAAUAUUUCAUCUUAAAUUGGUGCAUCAUUCCCUGUUUGUUCCUGAAAGUAUUACGCUGGUUUCACUCAGGCUAUGCCAGCCACAAAUGCAUUAACUAUAUCAACUCGAUACUCAUCAAUCUGCUGAUAUCAACUUCUUUUUACAGCAUUUUCUGAUUUUCAACCACAAAUGGCUCAAAACUUAUUGCAAUGUAGAUUGCUUGCUAACAGCUGUUGUCUUUGUUCAUUUUCAUCUAUUGGUAUGAGUACAAGUUUGGAGUGUAUUGGCAGCAGGCAGAGAACAGUUUUAUUUGAGGUAUGGCUACAUUUAUUCUGCUCUGUCACACUGAAGAUAAGCAAUCCUAAUGAGGAGUUUUCACUCACCACUUCUGUAGUCCGUCAUAUUCCAUUGAUGCCCCUUGUUCCCAUUUUUGAAUUUUCUCAAACCAAGAUUUCGAUGUUGCAGUCACAAUCUCGUCAUAUUUUUCUGCCAAAAUAGAGUUUUGAGUUGAUUACUCUAUUGGCAUAAUAAUAUUGGUAUUACAAACUUUUUUUCAUAUUGAAACUUUCAGAUUAAAUUCGAAUAUUAGAGGUCAUUGUUUGAUUGAAUUUUUUUUUUGCAGUUUUGAAGAAUUUGCAUGGCUUUUUUUUUUUAAAUGUAUGAAAAAGACAUGUUGCCAAUUUCAAUUUUUCUAGAUAUUUUAGUUUUAACAGGUUUGAUUAAUUAUUUCUUGAUCCCUUUCUUUUAAAUGGGCAUAUGCUUAUUACUAGUGCUAAUUUCUAUUUUACUGUAUAUCUAUUUAGCUCUAGUAUUUAGCUAUUCUUUUUCUACUGAUGAUUUCAUAAUGUAAAUUUUAUUCAGUUAUUGACUGGCCAGACUGGUGAUAAAGUGAAGGAUAUUAUUACUGAAAUUAGUUAUGUAUAUUUAUAUCACCACAAAAACUAUUUGAAUAUAGUUACACUAAAUAUACCUGAAAUUUUACACAUACACAUGCGCGCAUGCACACACACACACACACACAAAGUUUUUUAUAAAUUAGAAUGUUGUUUUCCUUAUUAGCAUAAACCAACCUUUUGAAAGUUUCAUUUUUUUAAAAAUUUCCCCAUUGAUUAUUUAAUUUACUUUUCAAAAUUAUAUUACAAAAGUCCACUUAAUUGGGUUCAGAAUUGGUCAGAAUUGCUAUUUUGUAAUAAUCUAUCAAAAUUAAAUUAUUUAUUUCAAUUUUAUUUAUUUAUUGGUCAUUUUUUUAAUCUUUUAACAGUAGGGCAUUUUUAUAGUAUUUCUUGGUUCAACAACUUCAGUUUCAAUAGGUUAUUUGCAUGUGUUGACUUCAACUAUGAUAUAUUCUUCACACUUUCAUUGUUUCCAAGUUUUAGUAAAACUAUUUAAAUGUAGAUAGUUGAAAUGUUCCCUAUAUGAAAGCUGAAUUACUAGUUGUUCAUCACUGGCCAUCAUGUCUUUUAGAUGGUUUGUAUUAAAGGUAUUCUCUUGUUACCAGCUUUCUACUCAAUGUUUGCUGAUCGUGGGAGUGAGUACUGCAUGUAUGGAUUUGAUGAGCAUACAGAGUGAAAUGACAGCACCACCACCAUUUGAACUGUGUUAUUUCCUUUGCUGUAAACCAGUUGAAACAGUCCUGAUGAUGAGAAUAGUGUCAUUAUUAAGAUAAUCAACACCUUAGCCAUGCCAGGAUUGAAACCAGCUAUUCAAAUAGGUAUUUCUACUUAAAAAGAACCAGAGGUAUGUGAAAUAGGUACCUACUGUCUCCUCCUCUUAUUCCUCACUGUAGUGUCAGAUGGUUGUUCCUGUUUUUCCUCUGGUAUAUAACUGACAACUGCUCUUGCUGCUGUUCUAUUAUUCACUGGUUAGAAUAGCACUCCAUGCAGUGUAGUCUUUUCAUACAGUUUUGACUGUUUCUGUCCAUUCAUUUUGUUAUAAAUGGUCUUGCUAAUUUUUUUUUUAAUGUAUUUCUUCUAUAAAGAAGCAAUAAAAUACAUUUUGCUCUUUUUUA
This 6486-nucleotide unclassified non-coding RNA is filed under the name Octopus sinensis (East Asian common octopus). Its description in RNAcentral is "luc7-like protein 3, transcript variant X2". The record is from RNAcentral. Lineage: Eukaryota; Metazoa; Mollusca; Cephalopoda; Octopoda; Octopodidae.